RNAcentral lists this ribosomal RNA (585 nucleotides) under uncultured cyanobacterium. RNAcentral describes it as "bacterial SSU rRNA". It matches the Rfam family "Bacterial small subunit ribosomal RNA", at positions 45 to 663 of the family's 1533-position model. Lineage: Bacteria; Bacillati; Cyanobacteriota. The record is from RNAcentral.
UGCCUAACACAUGCAAGUCGUACGAGUAGUUUUUAACUCUAGUGGCGGACGGGUGAGUAACACGUGAGAAUUUGCCUUUAGGAGGGGGAUAACAAUUGGAAACGAAUGCUAAUACCCCAUAUGCUUUCGAGUGAAAUGGAUUUAUAUUUAUCCGCCUAGAGAGAAGCUCGCGGCUGAUUAGCUUGUUGGUAAGGUAAGAGCUUACCAAGGCGACGAUCAGUAUCUGGUUUGAGAGGACGAUCAGACACACUGGAACUGAGACACGGUCCAGACUCCUACGGGAGGCAGCAGUGGGGAAUUUUCCGCAAUGGGCGAAAGCCUGACGGAGCAAUACCGCGUGAGGGAAGACUGCCUAUGGGUUGUAAACCUCUUUUUUCAGGGAGGAAUCAAUGACGUGUACCUGAAGAAUAAGCAUCGGCUAACUCCGUGCCAGCAGCCGCGGUAAGACGGAGGAUGCAAGUGUUAUCCGGAAUCACUGGGCGUAAAGCGUCUGUAGGUGGUUUAAUAAGUCAACUGUUAAAUCUUGAGGCUCAACUUCAAAAUCGCAGUCGAAACUAUUAGACUAGAGUAUAGUAGAGGUAAAGG